GAUGAACGCUGGCGGCGUGCCUAAUACAUGCAAGUCGAGCGAACAGAUGAGGAGCUUUCUCCUCUGACGUUAGCGGCGGACGGGUGAUUAACACGUGUAUAACCUACCUAUAAUACUUGGAUAACUUCGUGAAACCGGAUCUAAUACCGGAUAAUAUAUUGAACCGCAUUGUUCAUUAGUUUAUUACGGUUUUUCUGUCUCUUUUAGCUUUUUCCUCGCCGCAUUAGCUAGUUGGUAAGGUAACGGCUUACCAAGGCAACGAUGCGUAGCCGAACUGAUAGGGUGAACGGAGACACUGGAAGUGAGAAACGGACAAGAGAACUAAGGGAGGCAGAAGUAGGGAAUGUGACGCAAUGGGCGAAAGCAUGACGGAGAAAAGCCGAGUGAGUGAUGAAGGUGUUAGGAUCGUAAAACUAUGUUAUUAGGGAAGAAAAAAAGUGUAAGUAAAUAUGCACGGAGUGACGGUACCUAAACAGAAAGAAACGGCUAACUACGUG
This 497-nucleotide ribosomal RNA is filed under the name uncultured bacterium. Its description in RNAcentral is "partial 16S ribosomal RNA". It matches the Rfam family "Bacterial small subunit ribosomal RNA", at positions 28 to 507 of the family's 1533-position model. The record is from RNAcentral.